This 440-nucleotide ribosomal RNA is filed under the name uncultured bacterium. RNAcentral's name for it is "partial 16S ribosomal RNA". It matches the Rfam family "Bacterial small subunit ribosomal RNA", at positions 338 to 795 of the family's 1533-position model. The record is from RNAcentral.
CCUACGGGAGGUUGCAGUGGGGGAUAUUGCACAAUGGGGGAAACCCUGAUGCAGCGACGCCGCGUGUGGGAAGACGGUCCUCUGGAUUGUAAACCACUGUCCCCAGGGACGAAGAUGACGGUACCUGGGGAGGAAGCUCCGGCUAACUACGUGCCAGCAGCCGCGGUAAUACGUAGGGAGCGAGCGUUGUCCGGAAUUACUGGGUGAAAAGGGAGCGUAGGCGGGACUGCAAGUUGGGUGUCAAAUCUACCGGCUCAACCGGUAGCCGCACUCAAAACUGCAGUUCUUGAGUGAAGUAGAGGCAGGCGGAAUUCCUAGUGUAGCGGUGAAAUGCGUAGAUAUUAGGCGGAACACCAGUGGCGAAGGCGGCCUGCUGGGCUUUUACUGACGCUGAGGCUCGAAAGUGUGGGGAGCAAACAGGAUUAGAUACCCCAGUAGUC